This 508-nucleotide ribosomal RNA is filed under the name Weissella cibaria. RNAcentral's name for it is "bacterial SSU rRNA". It matches the Rfam family "Bacterial small subunit ribosomal RNA", at positions 86 to 581 of the family's 1533-position model. Lineage: Bacteria; Bacillati; Bacillota; Bacilli; Lactobacillales; Lactobacillaceae. The record is from RNAcentral.
UUGCAAAGAGUGGCGAACGGGUGAGUAACACGUGGGAAACCUACCUCUUAGCAGGGGAUAACAUUUGGAAACAGAUGCUAAUACCGUAUAACAAUAGCAACCGCAUGGUUGCUACUUAAAAGAUGGUUCUGCUAUCACUAAGAGAUGGUCCCGCGGUGCAUUAGUUAGUUGGUGAGGUAAUGGCUCACCAAGACGAUGAUGCAUAGCCGAGUUGAGAGACUGAUCGGCCACAAUGGGACUGAGACACGGCCCAUACUCCUACGGGAGGCAGCAGUAGGGAAUCUUCCACAAUGGGCGAAAGCCUGAUGGAGCAACGCCGCGUGUGUGAUGAAGGGUUUCGGCUCGUAAAACACUGUUGUAAGAGAAGAAUGACAUUGAGAGUAACUGUUCAAUGUGUGACGGUAUCUUACCAGAAAGGAACGGCUAAAUACGUGCCAGCAGCCGCGGUAAUACGUAUGUUCCAAGCGUUAUCCGGAUUUAUUGGGCGUAAAGCGAGCGCAGACGGUUA